UUGAUCAUGGCUCAGAUUGAACGCUGGCGGCAGGCUUAACACAUGCAAGUCGAGCGGAGAGAAGUAGCUUGCUACUGAUUUUAGCGGCGGACGGGUGAGUAAUACUUAGGAAUCUGGCUAUUAGUGGGGGACAACAUUUCGAAAGGGAUGCUGAUACCGCAUACGUCCUACGGGAGAAAGCAGGGGAUCAGUAAUGACCUUGCGCUAAUAGAUGAGCCUAAGUCGGAUUAGCUAGUUGGUGGGGUAAAGGCCUACCAAGGCGACGAUCUGUAGCGGGUCUGAGAGGAUGAUCCGCCACACUGGGACUGAGACACGGCCCAGACUCCUACGGGAGGCAGCAGUGGGGAAUAUUGGACAAUGGGGGGAACCCUGAUCCAGCCAUGCCGCGUGUGUGAAGAAGGCCUUAUGGUUGUAAAGCACUUUAAGCGAGGAGGAGGGUACUGGUAUUAAUACUACCAGCUACUGGACGUUACUCGCAGAAUAAGCACCGGCUAACUCUGUGCCAGCAGCCGCGGUAAUACAGAGGGUGCGAGCGUUAAUCGGAUUUACUGGGCGUAAAGCGUGCGUAGGCGGCUAAUUGAGUCGGAUGUGAAAUCCCCGAGCUUAACUUGGGAAUUGCAUUCGAUACUGGUUAGCUAGAGUGUGGGAGAGGAUGGUAGAAUUCCAGGUGUAGCGGUGAAAUGCGUAGAGAUCUGGAGGAAUACCGAUGGCGAAGGCAGCCAUCUGGCCUAACACUGACGCUGAGGUACGAAAGCAUGG
Molecule: ribosomal RNA, 759 nt
Filed under: uncultured bacterium
Lineage: Bacteria
Description: bacterial SSU rRNA
Rfam family: Bacterial small subunit ribosomal RNA
Source: RNAcentral